RNAcentral lists this ribosomal RNA (439 nucleotides) under uncultured Bryobacterales bacterium. Its description in RNAcentral is "partial 16S ribosomal RNA". It matches the Rfam family "Bacterial small subunit ribosomal RNA", at positions 338 to 794 of the family's 1533-position model. Lineage: Bacteria; Pseudomonadati; Acidobacteriota; Terriglobia; Bryobacterales. The record is from RNAcentral.
CCUACGGGAGGCAGCAGUGGGGAAUCUUGCACAAUGGGGGAAACCCUGAUGCAGCGACGCCGCGUGAGCGAUGAAGCCCCUCGGGGUGUAAAGCUCUUUCGGCAGGGACGAUAAUGACGGUACCUGCAGAAGAAGCUGCGGCUAACUACGUGCCAGCAGCCGCGGUAAUACGUAGGCAGCAAGCGUUGUUCGGAAUUACUGGGCGUAAAGCGUGCGUAGGCGGUUGGCCAAGUUUGGUGUGAAAUCUCCCGGCUCAACUGGGAGGGUGCGCCGAAAACUGGCGGGCUAGAGUGCGGGAGAGGGAAGUGGAAUUCCUGGUGUAGCGGUAAAAUGCGUAGAUAUCAGGAGGAACACCUGUGGUGUAGACGGCUCCCUGGACCGUGACUGACGCUGAAGCGCGAAAGCGUGGGGGGCGAACGGGAUUAGAUCCCCCGGUAGU